RNAcentral lists this long non-coding RNA (784 nucleotides) under Sorghum bicolor (sorghum). RNAcentral describes it as "long non-coding RNA (SBIC_LNC015472)". The record is from RNAcentral. Lineage: Eukaryota; Viridiplantae; Streptophyta; Magnoliopsida; Poales; Poaceae.
UUAAAUACAAACGAAAAUGCUACCGUGUCAAAAUCCAAAAAAAUUUUAGAUCUAAACUAGACCUAAAGUCUUGUUUAGUUCUCAAAAUAUUUUACAAAUUUUUUCAGAUUCUCCGCCAUAUGAAAUCUUACGGCGUAUGCAUGGAACAUUAAAUAUAGAUAAAAGACAGAUUCCUGGUGCUUAAUCUGUCCAGAUCAACGUUCGUCAUGUUCCUUCUUCUCAAGAUAUUCCUGGUGCUUAAUCUGUCCAAGAAAAAUAUAGACAAAAUAUUUUAACAACAUAUACAAAAAAAUCACAAAACACAACUAAAAAGCAAAAUAUUUCUUUAUGCAAGACCUUACUCUCUCCACCUCUCAUGCCACGAAACUUGUCAUUCCCAAUCUCAUAUGCCUCUUGCCCCUCUCUCGCCCUCAUCUAAGGAUUCAGCGCUAGUGAACGCCCUCUGUGCUAGAGUUUGCAUAGACUCACAUCCUCCACCAAAGCUCACAAAGGAGGCCCUCCUCACUGGAUGUUGCCUUGGCUCUGCCUAGCCCAAACCCCAUGUGUCUUACCUCCCUGACAUGACGUGACUCGCCAAACCAUACAAGCUCAUCUAGAAUUGGCGAAAUUUUGUAGAAGGAGAAAAAAAGGAAAAAGAAAACCUAAGCAAAUGACUGAUAGUUCCUAUGAAGCAAAAUAAGCAACAGUGGAUUGUAUAGCUUUGUCUAAGUUAAGAAUAAUGUUGCAUAAAGUCUAAUACAAUAUAAUACUAGUGCGAGCAACCACUCAAAUCCUAAAAAGAGGC